AGGGAUCAUUGCUGGAA
This 17-nucleotide ribosomal RNA is filed under the name Diaporthe stewartii. RNAcentral's name for it is "partial 18S ribosomal RNA". Lineage: Eukaryota; Fungi; Ascomycota; Sordariomycetes; Diaporthales; Diaporthaceae. The record is from RNAcentral.